AUGAAAGCAGAGGGAGAGACUCUUUUACAAAGAGCGCCGAAGGAGCAAACAGAUCCGUGAAUCUCUCAGGCAAAAAGACUUCUGCCGGACG
RNAcentral lists this non-coding RNA (91 nucleotides) under Jeotgalibacillus malaysiensis. RNAcentral describes it as "Glycine sequence". It matches the Rfam family "Glycine riboswitch aptamer". Rfam says of the family: This family represents the bacterial glycine riboswitch. Glycine riboswitches usually consist of two metabolite-binding aptamers domains with similar structures in tandem. Lineage: Bacteria; Bacillati; Bacillota; Bacilli; Caryophanales; Caryophanaceae. The record is from RNAcentral.